CCUGGUUGAUCCUGCCAGUGGUCAUAUGCUUGUCUCAAAGAUUAAGCCAUGCAUGUCUAAGCAGAAGCCGAACAACGGUAAAGCCGCGAAUGGCUCAUUACAACAGCCGUCGUUUCUUGGAUCUCUUAUUUUACUUGGAUAACUGUGGUAAUUCUAGAGCUAAUACACGCACUAAAGCUCCGACCUUACGGGACGAGCGCAUUUAUUAGAACAAAACCAAUCGGGUUUCGGCCCGUCCGUUGGUGACUCUGAAUAACUACGCCGAUCGCACGGUCUCGUACCGGCGACGUAUCUUUCAAGUGUCUGCCUUAUCAACUUUCGAUGGUAGUUUAUGUGCCUACCAUGGUUGUAACGGGUAACGGAGAAUAAGGGUUCGACUCCGGAGAGGGAGCCUGAGAAACGGCUACCACAUCCAAGGAAGGCAGCAGGCGCGCAAAUUACCCACUCUCGGCACGAGGAGGUAGUGACGAAAAAUAACGAGACGGAUCUCUUUGAGGCCCGUUAUCGGAAUGAGAACAAUUCAAAUCCUUUAACGAGGAUCUAGCGGAGGGCAAGUCUGGUGCCAGCAGCCGCGGUAAUUCCAGCUCCGCAGGUGUAUAUCUAUGCUGCUGCGGUUAAAAAGCUCGUAGUUGGAUCUGCGUGCUCGGAACCGGUUGGCUCACUGAGUUUAAACUGGUCUCCGGCGCUUUAUCGGCUGGUUUUCCCUUGAUGCUCUUAACCGGGUGUCUUGGGUGGCUAGCACGUUUACUUUGAAAAAAUUAGAGUGCUCAAUACAGGCGCAAAGCCUUGAAUAGUGGUGCAUGGAAUAAUAGAAUAGGACCUCGGUUCUAUUUUGUUGGUUUUCGGAACGCGAGGUAAUGAUUAAGAGGGACAGACGGGGGCAUUCGUAUUGCGACGUUAGAGGUGAAAUUCUUGGAUCGUCGCAAGACGGACGACUGCGAAAGCAUUUGCCAAGAAUGUUUUCAUUAAUCAAGAACGAAAGUUAGAGGUUCGAAGGCGAUCAGAUACCGCCCUAGUUCUAACCGUAAACGAUGCCAACUAGCGAUC
Molecule: ribosomal RNA, 1047 nt
Filed under: invertebrate metagenome
Description: SSU rRNA
Rfam family: Eukaryotic small subunit ribosomal RNA
Source: RNAcentral